GCUCCUGUGGUCUAGUCCGGUCAAGGAUUCAGCCCUUUCGAGGCUGAGGCCCGGGUUCAAAUCCCGGCAGGAGCA
This 75-nucleotide transfer RNA is filed under the name Nanobdellota archaeon. RNAcentral describes it as "tRNA-Glu". It matches the Rfam family "tRNA". From Rfam's summary of the family: Transfer RNA (tRNA) molecules are approximately 80 nucleotides in length. Their secondary structure includes four short double-helical elements and three loops (D, anti-codon, and T loops). The record is from RNAcentral. Lineage: Archaea; Nanobdellati; Nanobdellota.